GAAAAGAUAAGAAAAAAAUGGAGUGAAAAAAUAAAAAGAAGGGAGGUGAGAAAAAUAGCAAGUAUGGUGUGCAUGUCCUAGAGUUUGAUUUUUUCAUAUGUUCGAGCACAAAAUCAAAUCCUAAGUUGUGAGAUUUCUAGAGAAAAUUCUCUUGGCAUGAUCCUAGUGGUGAAAGCGAAGGCAAUAGAGUAUUGGUGCAAUCGUUCUUCGAGUUUGAAGCCAAAAGUAUUCUUGUGAAGAAAAGGCUGCAGUGGUGCACCGAUUGAGAAGGAG
Molecule: long non-coding RNA, 273 nt
Filed under: Elaeis guineensis (African oil palm)
Lineage: Eukaryota; Viridiplantae; Streptophyta; Magnoliopsida; Arecales; Arecaceae
Description: long non-coding RNA (EGUI_LNC029559)
Source: RNAcentral